RNAcentral lists this unclassified non-coding RNA (337 nucleotides) under soil metagenome. Its description in RNAcentral is "partial contains 5.8S ribosomal RNA, internal transcribed spacer 2, and large subunit ribosomal RNA". The stretch from base 1 to 120 matches the Rfam family "5.8S ribosomal RNA", at positions 35 to 154 of the family's 154-position model. The record is from RNAcentral.
GAUGAAGAACGUAGCGAAAUGCGAUAAGUAAUGUGAAUUGCAGAAUUCAGUGAAUCAUCGAAUCUUUGAACGCACAUUGCGCCCGCCAGUAUUCUGGCGGGCAUGCCUGUUCGAGCGUCAUUUCAACCAUCAAGCCCCCGGGCUUGUGUUGGGGACCUGCGGCUGCCGCAGGCCCUGAAAAGCAGUGGCGGGCUCGCUGUCACACCGAGCGUAGUAGAUUUUAUCUCGCUCAGGGCGUGCUGCGGGUUCCGGCCGUUAAACCACCUUCAUAACCCAAGGUUGACCUCGGAUCAGGUAGGAAGACCCGCUGAGCUUAAGCAUAUCAAUAAGCGGAGGA